GACGAACGCUGGCGGCGCGCCUAACACAUGCAAGUCGAACGAGCGAGAGAGAGCUUGCUUUCUCGAGCGAGUGGCGAACGGGUGAGUAACGCGUGAGGAACCUGCCUCAAAGAGGGGGACAACAGUUGGAAACGACUGCUAAUACCGCAUAAGCCCACGACCCGGCAUCGGGUAGAGGGAAAAGUAGCAAUCCGCUUUGAGAUGGCCUCGCGUCUGAUUAGCUAGUUGGUGAGGUAACGGCCCACCAAGGCGACGAUCGGUAGCCGGACUGAGAGGUUGAACGGCCACAUUGGGACUGAGACACGGACCAGACUCCUACGGGAGGCAGCAGUGGAGAAUAUUGCACAAUGGGGGAUACCCUGAUGCAGCGACGCCGCGUGGAGGAAGAAGGUCUUCGGAUUGUAAACUCCUGUUGUAGAGGAAGAUAAUGACGGUACUCAACAAGGAAGUGACGGCUAACUACGUG
RNAcentral lists this ribosomal RNA (466 nucleotides) under uncultured bacterium. RNAcentral describes it as "partial 16S ribosomal RNA". It matches the Rfam family "Bacterial small subunit ribosomal RNA", at positions 28 to 507 of the family's 1533-position model. The record is from RNAcentral.